RNAcentral lists this ribosomal RNA (851 nucleotides) under uncultured bacterium. RNAcentral's name for it is "bacterial SSU rRNA". It matches the Rfam family "Bacterial small subunit ribosomal RNA", at positions 58 to 916 of the family's 1533-position model. The record is from RNAcentral.
CAAGUCGAACGAGAUCCAUGGUGUAGCAAUACACCGGAAGAUCUAGUGGCGAACGGGUGAGGAUCACGUGAGAAACCUGCCCCAGACUUUGGGAUAACAAGUGGAAACGCUUGCUAAUACCGAAUGACGUCGGAGAACCGCAUGGUUCACUGACGAAAGGAAUUCCGGUUUGGGAGGGUCUCGCGGCCUAUCAGCUAGUUGGUGGGGUAAUGGCCUACCAAGGCAACGACGGGUAGCUGGUCUGAGAGGAUGAUCAGCCACACUGGGACUGAGACACGGCCCAGACUCCUACGGGAGGCAGCAGUGGGGAAUCUUGCGCAAUGGGCGAAAGCCUGACGCAGCAACGCCGCGUGCGGGAUGAAGGCCUUCGGGCUGUAAACCGCUUUCAGCAGGAACGAAAAUGACGGUACCUGCAGAAGAAGGAGCGGCCAACUACGUGCCAGCAGCCGCGGUGACACGUAGGCUCCAAGCGUUGUCCGGAUUUAUUGGGCGUAAAGAGCUCGUAGGCGGUUGAGUAAGUCGGGUGUGAAAACUCUGGGCUUAACCCGGAGACGCCAUCCGAUACUGCUCUGACUUGAGUUCAGGAGGGGAGUGGGGAAUUCCUAGUGUAGCGGUGAAAUGCGCAGAUAUUAGGAGGAACACCGGUGGCGAAGGCGCCACUCUGGACUGAAACUGACGCUGAGGAGCGAAAGCAUGGGUAGCAAACAGGAUUAGAUACCCUGGUAGUCCAUGCCGUAAACGGUGGGCACUAGGUGUGGGUUCCAACUAACGGGAUCCGCGCCGUCGCUAACGCAUUAAGUGCCCCGCCUGGGGAGUACGGUCGCAAGACUAAAACUCAAAGGAAUUGACGG